This 245-nucleotide unclassified non-coding RNA is filed under the name Hevea brasiliensis (rubber tree). The record is from RNAcentral. Lineage: Eukaryota; Viridiplantae; Streptophyta; Magnoliopsida; Malpighiales; Euphorbiaceae.
CAAUAGCUUUCUUUGCUUGUGAAUUGCCACACUAAAGAUAAAUGAAACUAAAUCAAUUAAAUCGAGAAAGGGAAGGGGGUAUGAAAGCCUACACCAAAAGAAUGAAAUGAAUAUGAAACUACUAAUAAUACACAUACGAUGAUUCUCACGACAAGCGUGUUAUCAGCAGAGGAGACGUCUUUAUCCCUGAAUGAAUUGCCUUCAACAAUGCCACAAAAUUGAAUAGACUCUCUUCAGAGAACCAC